CAACAACAACAAUUGGAAGGAAGAGAACUAAGAAAUCUUCUGGGAGACGGCUGGCAACAAGUGUUGAAAUAACCAGAAACAGCUGAGAGGAAAACCAAAUAUUUGUUAAGUGAACUUACGCCAAACUAAGCUCAAAAGCAAAGAGUGCGAUAUAUAUUUGCAUGGAGAGCGAGCAAAUGGGAAUCCCAAUUGUAGACAUUGAACAAGCAAGCAUUUGAGUUUUAGAAGUGAUAGAAAUCAAACGAAAGAUCUUUUAGGAAAAUAUUAUAUAGUAGUAUUAAAAAAAUAUAACCAGAGAAUAUGAAAUUAUUUAAAGAAAGUAUAAAAAACAGUGACUAACAUAUACCAGGUAUCUACUUUCGGAUUGGUGGUCUUAUAAGCAAAACAGCAAUUAAAUUAGGAUGCUAACAAAGGGAGAGCAUUACUAAAGAACUGAUUUUCUACGUCAUAUGUAGUCAGCACGUUUUUUGUGCAUUUGGACUAUGCUUUGUUAUGGAUGAUUACAUUUAUUUUCUUUUGUAACAAUUUAUAUUUUUAAUUUACAAUUACUUACAAAAUUUAAAAAUUGUUUUUGCACAAACGAAUGUUUAAACAUUUCAAAGCGACGUUCACAUUUUUCUUUAGUAUUGGUUGCUCUUGCAAAAUAAUAAAAAGAGCUAGUAGGGGACCCGGUCAACACCAACUAGUUAUAAGCCCUUUAAAAUGAAGCCUCUAGGUGUUCCCGAAUAUUUUGUUAUGCAAUUAUAGAAAUAUACUCUCACGUUAAGUAAAAUCGAAGCCAGACACAAGCCAAAUGCAAAAUAGCACUUGAAUAAAUAUUUUUGGAUUUUUUUAAGCGCCGCUGCUGCAACAA
Molecule: long non-coding RNA, 853 nt
Organism: Bactrocera tryoni
Lineage: Eukaryota; Metazoa; Arthropoda; Insecta; Diptera; Tephritidae
Exons: 3
Source: RefSeq, a predicted model, not a curated record